GUGGGGAAUCUUCCGCAAUGGACGAAAGUCUGACGGAGCAACGCCGCGUGAGUGAAGAAGGUUUUCGGAUCGUAAAGCUCUUUCGUUAGGGACGAACGUGCUCUUUGUGAAUAAUGAGGAGUAAUGACGGUACCUAAAUAAGAAGCCACGGCUAACUACGUGCCAGCAGCCGCGGUAAUACGUAGGUGGCAAGCGUUGUCCGGAAUUAUUGGGCGUAAAGCGCGCGCAGGCGGGAUAUCAAGUCUGUCUUAAAAGUGCGAGGCUCAACCUCGUGAGGGGACAGAAACUGGUAUUCUUGAGUGUCGGAGAGGAAAGUGGAAUUCCAAGUGUAGCGGUGAAAUGCGUAGAGAUUUGGAAGAACACCAGUGGCGAAGGCGACUUUCUGGACUGUAACUGACGCUGAGGCUCGAAAGCCAGGGGAGCGAACCGGAUUAGAUACCCCUGUAGUCC
RNAcentral lists this ribosomal RNA (450 nucleotides) under uncultured bacterium. RNAcentral's name for it is "partial 16S ribosomal RNA". It matches the Rfam family "Bacterial small subunit ribosomal RNA", at positions 354 to 796 of the family's 1533-position model. The record is from RNAcentral.